GCGGGUAUGGCGGAAUUGGUAGACGCAGGGGAUUCAAAAUCCCCCGGUGGCAACACCUUGUCGGUUCGAGUCCGACUACCCGUACCA
This 87-nucleotide transfer RNA is filed under the name Parvularcula mediterranea. RNAcentral describes it as "Parvularcula sp. ZS-1/3 tRNA-Leu". It matches the Rfam family "tRNA". From Rfam's summary of the family: Transfer RNA (tRNA) molecules are approximately 80 nucleotides in length. Their secondary structure includes four short double-helical elements and three loops (D, anti-codon, and T loops). The record is from RNAcentral. Lineage: Bacteria; Pseudomonadati; Pseudomonadota; Alphaproteobacteria; Parvularculales; Parvularculaceae.